Molecule: unclassified non-coding RNA, 1316 nt
Filed under: Hevea brasiliensis (rubber tree)
Lineage: Eukaryota; Viridiplantae; Streptophyta; Magnoliopsida; Malpighiales; Euphorbiaceae
Source: RNAcentral
UUUUUUUUUUUUUUUUUUUAAUACAAACAACCCGUAGAAUUUCCACUAUUAAAGGUCGGAUAAUUUUUACAAGACGCACGCAUCAUAAUUAAUUAAUACAAACAAGUAAAACACUCUCAUCUCAGGCUUUUAAGAUGUCAAGUUAUCGAUGAUGGUUGUGUGCAGAGGGUCACUCAAGUGAGUAGCCCAGUUGUUGAGAGGACCUUUUCCAGUAACAGCAGCUUGGACAGCAAAUCCUAGGAAGGCAACCAUGGCAAGACGUGCGUGCUUGAUCUCUGCCAAUUGAAGAGUCGCCUUCUUCUCUGGAUCUGAGGCUAGACCUAGUGGAUCAAAGAACUUCCCUCCAGGGUACAGCCUUUUCUCAGGGUCUAGCUCUGCGUUUCUUUGGAACUCUAUGUACCCAAUAAGCAAAACCUCAAUCCAGAUCAAUGUAGUAAUGGAGAAUGGUAGUGGCUGGCCUAGAUAAGAUGACCCUUCAACUAGCUCCACCUUUCCAGCAUCUUGCCAGGUGACUCCAGUGAGCCACUCAACGGUGAGUGCCCCGAGAGUAGCCAACAUAGCCCACCUUCCAUGAAUGAGCUCGCACUCCCUAAACCUUUGCAACCCAAACACCUCGCUGUAAGGCUGGAAUGGCGUGGACUUCACAUCGGAGACCUCUGUGCGGGUUCCAAUCACAUCACCAGCCGAGUUCUUAGACAAGUUCUGGUCUAAAGAGUCCAACUCGAACUGCAAAUACUGCGCGGGUUUCCCCAACCCGAAUGGGUCAAACCCAUAAUCUCCCACUAAGCUACCGUCUAGAUACUCUGGUGCCUUGGCUCCUGGGUACCAUAGCGGCCGGUCUGAGUUACGCUUCGCGGAUUUCUUGGGUACGGACUUCUUGGUGCCAAAUCCGAACCGAGAUUGAACCCGACCAGAGUUGGUGUAAAUGUCUGGUAGACGCGUUCCCAUGAAGGAUGAUGCAGCGGCAGCAGCCGUGGAGGAAGCCAUGGCUAGAGUGUAACGUGAGCAGAAGAUAGAAUUAAUGGGAAGCUGGGAAGUGGGGUGGUGAUUUGAUAUGUGUUGUGUUAUACUGGGGGAAGUAUCAAUGAAUAUGAGCUUCUAUAUCCAUGGUGUUGGGCAUGAACCGUUGGAUGAAGUUGCGUAUCCAUCUGACGAAUGAGAAAGCAUCGGCCUUAUCUUCGCCUUAUCUGCAUUUGAAUUGUGGAGUCCAGCGACUUACACUUGAUUCGUUGUUGGCUUGUGAUCUAUUUGUGGUUGAUGUUGCUAGGAGAAAAUCUACCCGUUUCUCCUUCUGGAUUUUGGAUAAAUAACCUGCG